UUAGUGGCGGACUGGUGAGUAACACGUAAGCAAUCUACCUAUUAGAGGGGAAUAACAAUGAGAAAUCAUUGCUAAUACCGCAUAAGCUUGUAGUACUGCAUGGUACAGCAAGAAAAGGAGCAAUCCGCUAAUAGAUGAGCUUGCGGCUGAUUAGCUAGUUGGUAAGGUAACGGCUUACCAAGGCAACGAUCAGUAGCCGAGCUGAGAGGCUCUUCGGCCACAUUGGGACUGAGAUACGGCCCAGACUCCUACGGGAGGCAGCAGUCGGGAAUAUUGCGCAAUGGAGGAAACUCUGACGCAGUGACGCCGCGUAUAGGAAGAAGGUUUUAGGAUUGUAAACUAUUUUAGUCAGGGAAGAAAAAAGACGGUACCUGGAGAAAAAGCAACGGCUAACUACGUGCCAGCAGCCGCGGUAAUACGUAGGUUGCAAGCGUUGUCCGGAUUUACUGGGUGUAAAGGGCGUGUAGGCGGAGAUGCAAGUUGGGAGUGAAAUCCCGGGGCUCAACCCCGGGACUGCUUUGGAAACUGUGCAGCUAGAGUGCCGGAGAGGUAAGCGGAAUUCCUAGUGUAGCGGUGAAAUGCGUAGAUAUUAGGAGGAACACCAGUGGCGAAGGCGGCUUACUGGACGGUAACUGACGUUGAGGCUCGAAAGCGUGGGGAGCAAACAGGAUUAGAUACCCUGGUAGUCCACGCUGUAAACGAUAGAUACUAGGUGUGGGGGGUCUGACCCCCUCCGUACCGCAGUUAACACAAUAAGUAUUCCCACCCUGGGGAGUACGAUCGCAAGGUUGAAACUCAAAGGAAUUGACGGGGGCCCGCACAAGCGGUGGAGUAUUGUGGUUUAAUUCGAAGCAACGCGAAGAACCUUACCAGGGCUUGACAUGGGGAUGACCGGGCUAGAGAUAGCCUUUCUCUUCGGAGCAUCCCACACAGGUGGUGCAUGGUUGUCGUCAGCUCGUGUCGUGAGAUGUUGGGUUAAGUCCCGCAACGAGCGCAACCCCUAUCUUCAGUAGCCAUCAUUCAGUUGGGCACUCUGGAGAGACUGCCGUGGAUAACACGGAGGAAGGUGGGGAUGACGUCAAAUCAUCAUGCCCCUUAUGUCUUGGGCUACACACGUGCUACAAUGGCUGGUAACAAAGUGAAGCAGAACGGCGACGUCGAGCAAAUCACAAAAACCCAGUCCCAGUUCGGAUUGUAGUCUGCAACUCGACUACAUGAAGCUGGAAUCGCUAGUAAUCGCGAAUCAGCAUGUCGCGGUGAAUACGUUCCCGGGCCUUGUACACACCGCCCGUCA
Molecule: ribosomal RNA, 1294 nt
Filed under: uncultured bacterium
Lineage: Bacteria
Description: partial 16S ribosomal RNA
Rfam family: Bacterial small subunit ribosomal RNA
Source: RNAcentral